Balaenoptera acutorostrata (minke whale) is the source of this 824-nucleotide long non-coding RNA. RefSeq lists it as uncharacterized. NCBI's taxonomy places the organism in Eukaryota, Metazoa, Chordata, Mammalia, Artiodactyla, Balaenopteridae. The transcript is spliced from 3 exons. The record is from RefSeq and is a predicted model, not a curated record.
GUGCGCCGCCUGGCUCAGCGGCGGCAGUAGUGGAGCGGCCGACAGAGGGUUCCAUGGUGUAAUGGUGAGCACUCUGGACUCUGAAUCCAGUGAUCCGAGUUCAAAUCUCGGUGGGACCUUUCCCUUUAGGCAGCGCCCAGCCGUCUUUUACUCAGUUUCCUCCCGAAAGCGAACUCGCGCCUCAGAUGCGCGCUGCCUGGAUGCGCUUUCCCGCCCCCGCAUCCUCCUCAGUCCCGCUCUCGACCCGACCGUCUGGGUCCCGAGAAGGAGGCUUCCCGGACCCGCGACCCUCCUGCCGCCGCCCGUGCCUCGCAGCCGCGUCCCCCGCGCUCUGCCGCCUCCUCCUGAGGAAAACCGGCUGCUCCGAGUGGCGCGGUCCACGCGGACGUGGCGGGCAGGUUGGGGGGACGAGCCCGCGGCGUCCCCGCUGGACCCUGGCGACUCUGCCCGUCGCGGGCCAUUGGAGGCCCCGGCCCCGCCGCCCAGGGGCGCAGCGACCGAGCCAGUGCCACCUGCUCGUCGGGUCACCCUGGGUCUCGGGGGCGAAAGGCAGAGGCUGCGCCCACUGAGUCCUGCCCCGCGAGGGGGCUUCGCCCCGCACGUCUUGUAGCUAACUGCGCGGUUGUCACGCACUGCUCUAGAUUCUACCACCAAAAAGGAAAUAUGGAGGACAAGAGAAUUUAUUAAAGUACACCCAGGGCUUGGAGCCACACAGCAGUAGAGGGAUCAGCAAAGACUCUGCAUAUAAAGAAGAGGAGAGCAAGGAGGACAUACUCAGGAGGGAACCCAGGUAAAAUUACUCACAGAAAGGGCAUGUGGAUAAA